GUCUUCAAAAGAUUCUACUGGGCAGGCCAAGUCUAAAAAAAAACAAGAGGGUAAAGGCAGAGUAGAGUAUAAUACUUCACAGCCAUCAAAAGAUUCAGUUGGAGAGCCCAAGCCCAGAAAAGAAGAAAAGGACAGUGUCACUAAGACCACAAGUCACAUCCUUAAUGAUGACACUGUGCAGGCUCUGUGGAAUUUGAAGGACACUGAAGUGGUGGUUGCAGUGGUUCAGUCGACUGACAAGGAUAGGAAAUAUACACUGCACCACAGAGACUUCAAAACCCUGCAACCACACAACUGGUUAAAUGGGGAGACAAUUGAAUGCUAUUUUCAAGCACUCUUGAAUGCAAAAGACGAUGGACGAAAA
Carassius auratus (goldfish) is the source of this 364-nucleotide long non-coding RNA. RefSeq lists it as uncharacterized. The transcript has 4 exons. The record is from RefSeq and is a predicted model, not a curated record. Lineage: Eukaryota; Metazoa; Chordata; Actinopteri; Cypriniformes; Cyprinidae.